RNAcentral lists this ribosomal RNA (492 nucleotides) under uncultured bacterium. RNAcentral's name for it is "partial 16S ribosomal RNA". It matches the Rfam family "Bacterial small subunit ribosomal RNA", at positions 29 to 507 of the family's 1533-position model. The record is from RNAcentral.
AGUGAACGCUGGCGGUAGGCCUAACACAUGCAAGUCGAACGGCAGCACAGUAAGAGCUUGCUCUUACGGGUGGCGAGUGGCGGACGGGUGAGGAAUACAUCGGAAUCUACUUUUUCGUGGGGGAUAACGUAGGGAAACUUACUCUAAUACCGCAUACGACCUACGUGUGAAAGCAGGGGAUCUUCGGACCUUGCGCGAUUGAAUGAGCCGAUGUCGGAUUAGCUAGUUGGCGGGGUAAAGGCCCACCAAGGCGACGAUCCGUAGCUGGUCUGAGAGGAUGAUCAGCCACACUGGAACUGAGACACGGUCCAGACUCCUACGGGAGGCAGCAGUGGGGAAUAUUGGACAAUGGGCGCAAGCCUGAUCCAGCCAUACCGCGUGGGUGAAGAAGGCCUUCGGGUUGUAAAGCCCUUUUGUUGGGAAAGAAAAGCAGCAGGUUAAUACCCCGCUGUUCUGACGGUACCCAAAGAAUAAGCACCGGCUAACUUCGUG